ACGGGUGAGUAACACGUGGGUAACCUGCCUGUAAGACUGGGAUAACUCCGGGAAACCGGAGCUAAUACCGGAUAGUUCCUUGAACCGCAUGGUUCAAGGAUGAAAGACGGUUUCGGCUGUCACUUACAGAUGGACCCGCGGCGCAUUAGCUAGUUGGUGGGGUAAUGGCUCACCAAGGCGACGAUGCGUAGCCGACCUGAGAGGGUGAUCGGCCACACUGGGACUGAGACACGGCCCAGACUCCUACGGGAGGCAGCAGUAGGGAAUCUUCCGCAAUGGACGAAAGUCUGACGGAGCAACGCCGCGUGAGUGAUGAAGGUUUUCGGAUCGUAAAGCUCUGUUGUUAGGGAAGAACAAGUGCGAGAGUAACUGCUCGCACCUUGACGGUACCUAACCAGAAAGCCACGGCUAACUACGUGCCAGCAGCCGCGGUAAUACGUAGGUGGCAAGCGUUGUCCGGAAUUAUUGGGCGUAAAGGGCUCGCAGGCGGUUUCUUAAGUCUGAUGUGAAAGCCCCCGGCUCAACCGGGGAGGGUCAUUGGAAACUGGGAAACUUGAGUGCAGAAGAGGAGAGUGGAAUUCCACGUGUAGCGGUGAAAUGCGUAGAGAUGUGGAGGAACACCAGUGGCGAAGGCGACUCUCUGGUCUGUAACUGACGCUGAGGAGCGAAAGCGUGGGGAGCGAACAGGAUUAGAUACCCUGGUAGUCCACGCCGUAAACGAUGAGUGCUAAGUG
RNAcentral lists this ribosomal RNA (734 nucleotides) under Bacillus pumilus. RNAcentral describes it as "bacterial SSU rRNA". It matches the Rfam family "Bacterial small subunit ribosomal RNA", at positions 102 to 822 of the family's 1533-position model. Lineage: Bacteria; Bacillati; Bacillota; Bacilli; Caryophanales; Bacillaceae. The record is from RNAcentral.